This 4096-nucleotide long non-coding RNA is filed under the name Sorghum bicolor (sorghum). RNAcentral describes it as "long non-coding RNA (SBIC_LNC013627)". The record is from RNAcentral. Lineage: Eukaryota; Viridiplantae; Streptophyta; Magnoliopsida; Poales; Poaceae.
CUCGCCCCAGUUUGGGAUUCAGCGACGAGUCGUCUUCUCGUCUGCGCGCCGCAACACAGCACGCGCGCCACAUCCCCUCGCGUCUCCCCCGCACGGCGCCGCUUCCCCUCGUGCCUCCACAGCACGCGUGCCGCCAGCUUCCCCUCGCGACCCCCACCGCACAGACGCCACCCUCCCCCGCCGGACUUCUCCCGCCGCUUGUCUCGUUGGGCUCUCUGGCGUGGACCAUUCUCGCGUCGCAGCCAUACCUCCUCGGCUUCUUGCAUGGCCUGCCUUGGGGCCCGAUGUCAUUUCCUCCCUCGGCUACCACACGACCCGGUGACAUCCUCCACCUGUCUUUGCUCGCACCCGAGGUAUUGCCCUCUUCUCUGUGCCCCUAUUACGGUUGCCUCAAUCCCACCCCCAUGUUGCUAACACACAUAACCCUAAUCCCCAAAUCUGAUGUUGGAGGUGUAUGUGGUCGCAGAUCGGCUAUGGGAGGAGCCAAUGAUGGAGACCUAGGUGGAGGAGGCGGCAAAUCUGCAGCUGGAGGAGCCUGCAGCUGGAGGACCCCGUGAUGGAGGCGUAGGUAGAGGAGGCCACGACAAGGAGUGCCUCUUUCCACCUGGAAGGUAAAUCUUGUUUCUUUCUCCAUGUGUUAUGCUUAAUUCGCUUAUUAAUUUGUAUUCAUUCCCUUAUUUGAUGGAAUGGUUGAACCAAGAAACUGAAAAGCUAAGCUAGUUAUCCUUUUUUUCAUCUUUUGUUGCAUUCAAGUAAUGAAAAUGUUAUAAUCUGUGUGCCUACCAUGUGAUUUAUGGAAAUGCUCUUGGGUGUCCAUAUUGGUCUAGCAUUUUCUUUUGCACAAGUAGUUGAUGCCAGUUUUUGGAAGAGAAAUCAACCACAGAUUUUGUAAAAUUAUUAGAUGCAAGACCUAUGGAUAUCUUAUUUGUGUGGCCGUUGAUGCAAGACCUAGGACAUAUUAUUAUGUAGCUGUGGAUGCAAAAACUAUGAGCAUCUUAAUUGUGGCUAUUGAUGCUAGCUGUGGGCUUCUAAUAUGUAUGUCAUGUGGAUGAUGACAAAUUGAUGCAAUAUAUUUGUGUUCUAGCUGAAUAGUAUAGAAUUGUGAAUAAGAUUCUUUUCUGGUCUGGUGAAUGCAAUUGUAAAAAUAUAUUUUCUGUCAGUUUGUUUGAAUUAUCUUGUCGGUGGAGAGUCGACAUGGAAAAUUUUUAUUUUCUGUCCGGCUAAGUUCGAUGGAAAAAUAAGUGUUUUCCUGUCGGUGUAAGUUUCUUUUUUUUGUCGUUCUCCAACCGAUAGAGAAUGUAUUUCCUUGUCGGUAUUUUUUUCCUAUUGUCAUCUUCCGACAAAAAAAUUGAUUCUAAACCUGUCGACAAUGAAUUUUUCUGUCGGUGGCCCACCGACAAGGCAAAUAACAUACCGACAGGAAAAUGGUUUAUCCAACAGAAAAAAAAACUUAUUCCCUGUCGCGUUAGGCCUGUCGAAAUUUUUCUGUCGGGUUCCCAAUAUUUUUCCUGUCGUUAAAUUGAAUUGUCCUGUUGGUGUGGGAACGGACAGGAAAUUUUCAGUUUUCAGUAGUUAUAUGAAAUCUGCUAUGUCAUCAGCUCACAUAGAUUUAUGGGGACGUAGGAUUACCCAGAUGCAAUUUUACCAAAUCUUCUAUUUCAGAUGCACCUACCCUGUUUUUCAAUACUAUACCAUUUCUGAAAAACAAGUCUACGCAUGCCAUGAAGGCACAAUAAUUUGUGAAGAUACACGCUAGAUUGCACUAAUCAAUGCAAUAAUGUAUUGAUGUCAGUAGAGAAGUUUUACAGUAGAAAUACACGAAUGGUGGUGCCUUCUGGAUGAUGCUGCUCGAAGAAGCUGCUUACUACCGGCCGUACGAUUCCUACUAACUCUUCGCGAUUUGGAUUUCUACAAUAUGGAUAUCGUCCAUCGCACAGAUUGAUGUAAACUUUUUUCAGAUGUGGCAGGUGCUCGAUGCCAUGAAGUCCGACGACGCCACAUGUCUGGACUUGUUGCACAUCCAAUCUAAAGCUGAGGGUCUCAACCUUGGGCAUUGCUUCGGCCUGGAAAUGGAAAAGUUAACAAGAGCCCUGAACACCGUGCUGCCGCUAAAGAUAAUACCUUGGACAGGGACACGAUCUGCCCACACCCGAAGACGGGCGAGAACAGGUAACCCUGCAAGAACAGCAAUAGCAUCGUUGCACAGCCAGCCAAGGUUAAUAUCCAUGGUGACGAGUGUGCUGAGAUGACGAACCCACGGAGGUAACCGUGGGAGCCGUAUCUGCAGGUUUAGUUGCUCGAGAACACAGCCAGCAGAGAAGCUUAAAGGCCUACAGGCAGCAUAGUAAACUGUCAGGUUGUGCAAUGUUAAACCAUUUAAACGCUUCAGAUUGCAACUAACUAGCUUCUCGAUGGAGUAAAACAGAGCUUUCAAAUGUGCUUCCUUAUUGGCAAAACUGUAAUCAGUAAUAUAUAAGUCCAGCUCAAUCAGAUUUAGUAAUUCCCCAAGAGCCCUUACAUUAUCCAAUGACUGCUUGCUUGGAUCGAAGGAAUGUAUAGUACGCAGUGAUUUCAUAUUGCUGAUUCCAUCAGGAUAAAUUGUGCCCACAGGAAGCUUCAGAUACGACAAAGAAGGCAAACGAAUAAUAUCCCAUGGAAGAUGGGACAAUUUCCCAUGUAUCAUCAAUGAUUCAAGACGAUGCAACCCGCACAUUUGACUAGGUAGUUGAAUAAUGCUUGAUCCAGGUUUACUUUCAACAUAUAAAUACCUCAGCUGAAACAUUUUCCCAAUUGGAGUGAGAUCCAAAAUGUCAGCAUUGCAUACAAAUAGAACUCGGAUAAACUUCAGCUCCAACAGUUGAAGACUUUGGAGAGACAACCCAAAAGUAAAUAGCGAUCGUACAUGUGGUAGAUUCGCUCCAGGUGCUCUUUUAUCAAGUACUGACUCAUCAAUAAGCUGCAGGGAGAGACGGCGAGUAUUGUACGGCUGCCUAGUGGUAAUUGUUUGUAGGUUUUGUACUACAGCCAAAAAAUUCUCUUCUGCAGCCUUGGACACAAUUAGGUCUAGAAUCAUAUCAUGCACUUUAUAACAUAUAGUGCUCUUCAUCCAACCAUUAAGUUUUUCAAACUGGAUGAUCAUGCUCCUAUUCACAAGUUCAUUGAAAUAGCUCUCUACAGUUGACAAAAUGCAUCUCCCCCAUCUAAUUCAUUGACAAAACCUUCAGCUACACAUUGCCUAACUAAAUGGUCCUUUUCAAUUUGGUGAUCUUCUGGAUACAUACCAAUAUAUAACAAGCAUGUCUUGAUAUGAUGAGGAAGAUGAGUGUAACUAAGGUUCAGUAUCUGUCUCAUCCCCUCCAAAGUUGGAUUUGACCUCAGAUCAGAGCUUAGAGAUUUAAGGACGUAGUUCCACUGGUCCAAUGAUGAUGUAUUUGAUUGACUAGCUAAAAGGCUAGCUAUACUUAUGAUUGCUAGAGGCAAACCACCACAUUUCUGCAGAAUUUUCUCAGAUGGUUCUUCAAAUGGCUGAGAACAUGCAUUUCCCAACCCAAAAACUCUACUAUAAAACAAUUGCUUGGAAUCAUUGUCAUUGAGAGGUCUCAUCCUGUAAACAAAUUCCCGAUGAAAAUUGCAACAUGCCACAGCCACACUUUCAUUUCGUGUAGUUAUCAACACUUUGCUACCAGAGUGGCUCUCGGGGAAAGCACAUUUCACAAUUUCCCAUGAAGAUGCAUCCCAUAAAUCAUCAACUACUACCAAAUACCUGCAAAAUAUGUAUGUUCCAAUACAUCUAUUAAUAUGGCACACUAACUAAAAAUCUUGUUUUGAAUAACGUCAGUUGAACUCUAACCCUAGCUCCAAAGUAAGUUCAUGUAACAUGUCACUUUUUAUUUUUCAAAAACGCACCACAGAUUGUUGGACGAACAUUUGAAUUAGCUUGACAAAAUUCUAAGAUUUAAGUUUUAAUGAUUCCAACAUUAUUACCUGGAUGAAAUGUACUGGAGAUUGUCACAAUAUAUAGAUGAACCUUAAAACCUACGCACAUGCUGUUUUGCAGAUGGUCAAAGGUACUACGGGUAUUGCAUUAACUGUCUCU